CGGGAAAUUUCCAACUAUUUGGAAUAAUUCAGAUCCAACAGAAGCCGAGCAUGUUGGUAAUGCCUCUUCUUACCCAGUAAAGACCUUUAGCGAUCUCAUAACUGACGAGGCUUUAGAUUUGUAUGUACGAGCUCAUAACUCAAAGGAAACCUCCACCCACUUAGAGAAAGGCAAGAAGCUCAGUAAAAGACUCCUAGCCCAAGUCCGGUCAAGUAAUCUCCCUUCUACUCCUGCUUCCAAAAAAUUACGAAGGGUAGGAGAAGGGAAUCAUGGUACAUCCGCAAGCCCUGGAGUGUUAUCAGGUCCUACUCUUGUACCUCUAGGUUUCAGCGGAUUUGGUGGGGUUCCUACUAGUUUCGAAAGUUUUUGUUUAGUAUCAACCAACCAAGCCUUUU
Cornus florida is the source of this 395-nucleotide long non-coding RNA. RefSeq lists it as uncharacterized. The record is from RefSeq and is a predicted model, not a curated record. NCBI's taxonomy places the organism in Eukaryota, Viridiplantae, Streptophyta, Magnoliopsida, Cornales, Cornaceae. The transcript has 3 exons.